AGAGUUUGAUCAUGGCUCAGGAUGAACGCUAGCUACAGGCUUAACACAUGCAAGUCGAGGGGCAGCAUGACCUAGCAAUAGGUUGAUGGCGACCGGCGCACGGGUGAGUAACACGUAUCCAACCUACCGGUUAUUCCGGGAUAGCCUUUCGAAAGAAAGAUUAAUACCGGAUAGUAUAGCGAGAAGGCAUCUUCUUGUUAUUAAAGAAUUUCGAUAACCGAUGGGGAUGCGUUCCAUUAGUUUGUUGGCGGGGUAACGGCCCACCAAGACAUCGAUGGAUAGGGGUUCUGAGAGGAAGGUCCCCCACAUUGGAACUGAGACACGGUCCAAACUCCUACGGGAGGCAGCAGUGAGGAAUAUUGGUCAAUGGACGAGAGUCUGAACCAGCCAAGUAGCGUGAAAAGGAUGACUGCCCUAUGGGUUGUAAACUUCUUUUAUAUGGGAAUAAAGUGAGCCACGUGUGGCUUUUUGUAUGUACCAUACGAAUAAGGAUCGGCUAACUCCGUGCCAGCAGCAGC
RNAcentral lists this ribosomal RNA (518 nucleotides) under uncultured bacterium. RNAcentral's name for it is "bacterial SSU rRNA". It matches the Rfam family "Bacterial small subunit ribosomal RNA", at positions 8 to 518 of the family's 1533-position model. The record is from RNAcentral.